Molecule: ribosomal RNA, 549 nt
Filed under: uncultured bacterium
Lineage: Bacteria
Description: bacterial SSU rRNA
Rfam family: Bacterial small subunit ribosomal RNA
Source: RNAcentral
AGGGAAUCUUCCGCAAUGGGCGAAAGCCUGACGGAGCAACGCCGCGUGAGUGAUGAAGGUCUUCGGAUCGUAAAACUCUGUUAUUAGGGAAGAACAUAUGUGUAAGUAACUGUGCACAUCUUGACGGUACCUAAUCAGAAAGCCACGGCUAACUACGUGCCAGCAGCCGCGGUAAUACGUAGGUGGCAAGCGUUAUCCGGAAUUAUUGGGCGUAAAGCGCGCGUAGGCGGUUUUUUAAGUCUGAUGUGAAAGCCCACGGCUCAACCGUGGAGGGUCAUUGGAAACUGGAAAACUUGAGUGCAGAAGAGGAAAGUGGAAUUCCAUGCGUAGCGGUGAAAUGCGCAGAGAUAUGGAGGAACACCAGUGGCGAAGGCGACUUUCUGGUCUGUAACUGACGCUGAUGUGCGAAAGCGUGGGGAUCAAACAGGAUUAGAUACCCUGGUAGUCCACGCCGUAAACGAUGAGUGCUAAGUGUUAGGGGGUUUCCGCCCCUUAGUGCUGCAGCUAACGCAUUAAGCACUCCGCCUGGGGAGUACGACCGCAAGGUUG